GCAAACUUGGUCAUUUAGAGGAAGUAAAAGUCGUAACAAGGUUUCCGUAGGUGAACCUGCGGAAGGAUCAUUAAAAGAACUUGUGCCCGAGACAUUCGUGUCCAAGGCCCCCACACUGUGUGCACCGUUUAUCGUUCUUUUUGGCAGGGGCUUUGGGUUUUUCUCCCUUGUGGGGAGGAACUCAAACUUCUCCUUCGGCUCUAUCCUUUAUUCUUUUGAAGAGGACAGCCGGACAUGGGAAGCAGUUUUACCCUGCCAUUGAAUACUUAAACACGCUUUUUGUCUGAACAAUUUUAAUAAAUUGCGACCAUGAAAUUUUUCGUGGAAUGCAAAAAAACCAAACAUAACUUUCAACAACGGAUCUCUUGGCUCUCGCAUCGAUGAAGAACGCAGC
RNAcentral lists this unclassified non-coding RNA (394 nucleotides) under uncultured fungus. RNAcentral's name for it is "partial contains small subunit ribosomal RNA, internal transcribed spacer 1, and 5.8S ribosomal RNA". The stretch from base 1 to 73 matches the Rfam family "Eukaryotic small subunit ribosomal RNA", at positions 1759 to 1831 of the family's 1831-position model. Lineage: Eukaryota; Fungi. The record is from RNAcentral.